Long non-coding RNA from Canis lupus familiaris (dog), 485 nucleotides. RefSeq lists it as uncharacterized. The record is from RefSeq and is a predicted model, not a curated record. NCBI's taxonomy places the organism in Eukaryota, Metazoa, Chordata, Mammalia, Carnivora, Canidae. The transcript is spliced from 4 exons.
CUCUUAAUAAGGGACUGUCCUCAAACUCCCUGCCAGGAAUAGACUUGGAAAUGGGAAGUCUGAGAAGAAAGGGACCCACACCCGUUGCCCCCUGAAGGAGGAAGAAUGACAAGGGGGAUCCUGGAGGCUGGAAUUCUAAGAGGGCAACAAAAGAUAAAAGGAUCCUAGAUCCCUGAGCAACUUCAAGGAGAAGCAACUCACCAUGUUGGAUUGCAAUGUGAGCAACCUCAAGUAAUGAAAUAAUCCAUUAUCUGUGAGAGGAUGUCUGCUACCUAUGGAUGUAAAUGUGCUUUAUGUUCAGGGCCUCCUGGUCCUUGGACUUUGAAACAAAACCUGAAUGACAGCUAUGAGCAAUUCCAGCCUGGCUCCUGAUUAGCUAUGCCAAACAAAACAACUCUCUGCAGUGUAAACUUUCCAGGCAUCUGCAACCAAGCCUCUGUAGAGACUAUAAUUCCUCAGUGAGAUUUGAAGGAGAGUCAGAGGUU